UCCUCGGUAGCUCAAUGGUAGAGCGUGCGGCUGUUAACCGCAGGGUUGCAGGUUCGAGUCCUGCCCGAGGAG
This 72-nucleotide transfer RNA is filed under the name Chloroflexota bacterium. RNAcentral's name for it is "Chloroflexi bacterium tRNA-Asn". It matches the Rfam family "tRNA". From Rfam's summary of the family: Transfer RNA (tRNA) molecules are approximately 80 nucleotides in length. Their secondary structure includes four short double-helical elements and three loops (D, anti-codon, and T loops). The record is from RNAcentral. Lineage: Bacteria; Bacillati; Chloroflexota.